This 253-nucleotide ribosomal RNA is filed under the name uncultured bacterium. Its description in RNAcentral is "partial 16S ribosomal RNA". It matches the Rfam family "Bacterial small subunit ribosomal RNA", at positions 524 to 776 of the family's 1533-position model. The record is from RNAcentral.
UACAGGGGGGGCAAGCGUUGUUCGGAAUUACUGGGCGUAAAGCGCGUGUAGGCGGCUCGGAAAGUCGGGUGUGAAAGCCCUGGGCUCAACCCAGGAAGUGCAUUCGAAACUCCCGAGCUCGAGUCCUGGAGAGGAUGGUGGAAUUCUCGGUGUAGAGGUGAAAUUCGUAGAUAUCGAGAGGAACACCGGUGGCGAAGGCGACCAUCUGGACAGUGACUGACGCUGAGACGCGAAAGCGUGGGGAGCAAACAGG